This is a long non-coding RNA of Brassica rapa (field mustard), 4742 nucleotides long. RefSeq lists it as uncharacterized. NCBI's taxonomy places the organism in Eukaryota, Viridiplantae, Streptophyta, Magnoliopsida, Brassicales, Brassicaceae. The record is from RefSeq and is a predicted model, not a curated record.
AUCUAAUUAAAACAUAAGGAAUUGAUAGAUCAGAGGACACAUCCUCUUUUCUUUUCUUCCAUUGACAACCCCUCUCCUUCCGUUUCGUCUUCCAUUCUCCGUUUCGUCUUCCAUUCUGAACUCCUCUUCUAUAUUUUCAGACAACUUCAAUUAUAUUCCAGUUUUAGUCAAUCGGUUCCUCUUUCUCACCUUAUCUCCUCAACAAAACGUCUGCUGAACUUUUCCCGUUAUUAAAUCAUGUUUUGCAUUUACGAACGCAAGCAUUUGAAUGGUUCUCUCAGAAAUCAUGUUUCUUUAAUUUGUAUUGUAGAUUGGAAUUGUGUUCUUUUUUUUUUGUUGGAUUCGCCACACACCUCACCAGCUCCAAUGGCUUGAAUAGUAUUCUCUCUUCUUCUCUACUCAGUUGUUUUCUCCAUCUCUUUCUUUCUGUUCUCUUAUGGUUUUGUUUACAGAGCGUAUCAGCAUCCAGAUGAGCAACUUAGCAUAUAAUUGGGUUUAGCUCCAAGACGGAUCAAGAUUUGGUUUCAGAACCGAUGAACACAAACGAAGGUUUUCUACUUUUUACUUUCUCUCUUCCUCGCUGUCUUUUCUCCAAAAAAUAAAUUAAAGAGUAGUCCUUAGUUUUGCUUCUCCAUCGUUUCUUCUUGCAGGCUCAGCUCAAGAGAGCUGAUAAUUGUGCACUCAAGGAAGAGAAUUAUAGGAUUCGUUAUGAAAACGAUGCCAUUAGAGAAGCUCUCAAAUACGCCACCAAACUCUUACUUUGAUGAACAUAAGCUUUGAAUCGAAAAUGCUUAGAGAAGAGUGAUGUGAACAUGAUUUUCAAAUAUAGUUGGAUAAUAGCCAUCACAGCAGAGAUCAAGAUGGGACUCAAGUUAAGAAAGACAACAACGGAUGCGGUGGUGGAAAUUCUUGUGGUACCGUGUUCACGCGGUGGUUUGUGGCGAGGUGAGGAGACAAGAGGGAUGAGAAGGGAGAUUGAGCCUGUUGUCUAGAAGUAGAUUACUGCUAUCCGCACUAUCAGAAGUUCUCUGACAAUGUAAACCAGUACUGAUUUUGACUUUUCAAGGGUAUCUACAGGAGCAUCACUUCCUCUUUCUACUUGCUCUGCUAGCCAUCCUUCAAUCCCUUGAAGCACAUAAACAUCAACUCCAAGAGUGAAGAUAGCUUUUACAUUCUUUUGAAAAUAAGGUAGAAAGAUGAUGAUCAAAUUUUUAGUAUGCUAUUAGAAGUUAUAUUAUUAUUGUUUUUCUUUCUGAUUUUAGUUUGAUACAUGGCUUAUUAGAUUUUGGUUGUUAUAUAAUCUUUAUAAGUUCGUCUCUUACAUGGUUUAAAUUGUGGUAGAAGAAAGGAAGAACAAUUAUAUUUAAACAAGAUGAAGUCAGUCACCUUCCUCAUUUUAGCAUGAAUGAAUAUGCCCACUAUAGUAAAAAUUUAAUGUUAUAUACAUAUUUCAUGUAAAGUUGGAGGUUGGAUGACCGAGAUGUGAGCAGACGGUUUAUGAAAAAACAAAAGACACAAGAGUGACUAAACUAUUAGGAAGUACUUAAUUAACAUACUUAAGAACACUUGAGUAAGCAUAAAAAUAAAACAUAUGUUAAUGCUUUGCUCUUCAAGGUUGAGGACAAUAAACAUAAAAACAAGAAGCAUUUGUAAAAAUGAUGAUCUGAUGAUCAUGCAAGCCUAUUUCGUAUAUGAGAAAAAACUCCAGUUAUAUAUCAUGUAUUAGCAUGUGAUAUACAAAGACAACUACAAUGCAAAAUUUUAUACUUUGUUAGUAAUUAUUUUGAUCACCAACCCAUUCUGAGAAAAUAGCAUUGUUAUACAAAUAAAAUUAUGACAUUAUCCAAAUUAAUUAUAUAUAUAAUGCAAAUACAUCAACUUAGAUGGAGAGGAACGAAAGAAAUCAAAAGAUCAAAUGUCCUAAUACCCUUAAAAGUUAUAAAUUUAACGGGUCUCAAGCCAAAAAAAAUAACAAAAAAAAAUUUAAAACGACUGUUAAUUUAAAAUUUAUUUACCUAAACUUAAAUAAAUGCGGUAAUAAAUAUAUCCAGAUUAAACUAAGCUUAAAUCAUUUUAAUAUUCUUAUAAUAGUAAAAUAACAAAUUUUGAGUAGUACAAAUUUAAAAUUUGCUAGACCAAAAAUUAAUAAAAUAAAAAGUCUAAUUUUAAAUUCUUUUUAGUAAUUUAGAUUUUAAUAAUAAAUGUAAAUAUAUAAAUAAUAUUGAAAUAAAGUAAAAUGAUAGAAUUAAAACUAAAUAUAACAGAAAGGAGGAUAUAAGCGUUAGAUAGAGUGUCCACGUAGGCGAAAAUAAUGGGCCAAUGAAAAACUAUAUUUUUACCAUAUCACCUCCUCUAUUUGUUUUUUCAAAAUGAUCCUUUAACUUUUUACUAAAACAAUUAUAACCGAAAAUAUUUUUUUGUGAAAUAUAUUAUUUAUAUAAAUAUAAUUAUAUUUUUAAUUUACAUAAUAUUAUGUAAAGAAAUAUUUAAUGUAAAUAAUAUCAUAAUUUUAUAAAAUACUAAAAUAAAUUGGGUUGGUUUUCAACUUUCACAAAUAAAAAGUAUUAUUUGUAAACUUAGAAAAGAAUAUAUCAAGAAUAUUAUUUUCAGGAGAAAAAAGAGAAAAAUAUAUCGAAGAAAAAUUCAUCUCUAUUAUGAAAAAAUAGAGGAAUACAUUGGAGAUGGUCUAAGGCAUGGCUGAUGUAAAUGAUCGACAUUGAGAUUUCAACUUUUCUGAUUCUUACUGUUCUAAUGUUUCAAUAUAAUUUGAAUAUUCCCUUUGCUUUAUAAUAUAAUAGUUUAAAAGUAAUUUUUGUUUCACUAUAUAAAUUAUUUUUAUAUUUCAAUGUAACUUUAUACUUAUUGUAUAUUGUGUGGCCAACUAAAUUAUGUAAAUUACUGUGUAAUUGAUUAAAUUUAUAUAUUAAAUGACAGUUUUCUAAAGUAAUAAUUUUUCAAUAUUACAGAUUUUAAUUAAAACUAGAGGAUAUAAGCCUCAGAUAGAUGUCCACAUAGGUGAAAAUAAUCGGCCAAUGAGAAACUAUAUUUUUGCCAUGUCACCUCCUCAUUUUGUUUUUACAAAAUGAUCUUUUAGCUUUUUUACUUAAACAGUUAUAACCAAAUUUUUUUUUGUGAAAUAUAUUAUUUAUAAAAAUAUAAUUAUACUUUUUAUUUACAUAAUAUUUUGUAAAGAAAUAUUUAGUGUAAAAUAAUAUCAUAAUUUUAUAAAAUACUAAAAUAAAUUGGGUUGGUUUUCAACUUUCACAAAUAAAAAGUAUUAUUGUAAACUUAGAAAAUAAUAUAUCAACAAUAUUCUUUUUCAGGAGAGAAAAUAGAAAAUACAUCGGAGACAAAUUCAUCUCUAUUAUAAAAUUCCUCUAUUUUAGAGAAAAAAUAGAGGAAUACAUUGGAGAUGGUCUAAGGCAUGGCUGAUGUAAAUGAUCGACGUUGAGAUUUCAACUUUUCUGAUUCUUAUUGUUUUAAUGUUUUAAUAUAAUUUGAAUAUUCCCUUUGUUUUUUAAUAUAGUGGUUUAAAAAUAUAUUUUGUUUCACUAUAUAAAUUGUUUUUAUAUUUCAAUGUAACUUUAUAUUUAUUAGAUAUUGCGUGGCCAAUUAAAUUAUGUAAAUUAUUGUGUAAUUGAUUAAAUUUAUAUAUUAAAUGAUAGUUUUCUAAAGUAAUAACUUUUAAAUAUUACAGAUUUAAAUUAAAACUGAUUACAUUUUGAAACAGAUAGAGUAAUCUAUAAACUAACUCUAUAUAGAUAUGAGGAUAAAAUUGUAAAGUGGUCUCACCUUGAAUUUCUCUUAUUUUGUGCAUUACUAAUUCGAAUGAGAUAAUCAACAUCUAAUAUUAUCUUACUCUCAGUAUAUUAGAAAUGGUCGAACCGUAAACCAAUUAAGGGUGAUGUAAGGAAGACGUAAAUAUGUAUUUUCAGUUAUCACAAAUAUAGAAUCAAUUGACAACAAUUUAAUUAUGUCUACCAUAUGACAACAUAGAGAGUUUACAUACCUUCUAAUAUUAUAAUAUUUCACAAUAUUAGUGGCUAAAUCAGUUUUCUCUAGCACAAAUACUCACUUCAUUCUUGAAGUUUAAGCUUUUCUAUCUGAUGAUAUUAGUAGUUUGAUCCAAAAAAAAACGGUUGAACUGUACAUUGUAACUGGAGAAAGAAAACAAACAAAAAUCAACCGAAGACGUUUAAGGUAUAUGAAACAAAAAUUGGAAAUAACAAUUCUCUGCAAUUAAAGAAUAAGGCAAUAAAAUUGUAAACAUACAAAAUAAAACAAAAAAUAUAUACAAAAAGAAAGAUUUAGUAAAAUAAAAUCAUAAUAUAAUUUUCAUAAUUGAUAGUGCUCAGUUACACUAAAAUGUCUAAAUUUACAACAUACACAGUUUUAUUUACAUCUUUAAACUUAUUAUCUAAUUAAAAUGAUUCUAAAAAAAGGUGCCAGCAUGAAGAGUUAGAAAAUAUCCGAUAAAAUAUAAAUCAUAACGUUAAAAAUACAUUAUCACUGAUCACUAAAAAAUCAUGUUAGUAGUAUAAAAAUGAAAUAACAACACAUUAAUUAAAACCAUAGAACAACACGCAACAAGGUAUUAUUAAAUAUACAAACUACAAAUUAAAUAUGCUCAACGCAAACACACAUAAAAAUGAGACAUCAUAAUAUUUAAAUAAAUUAUUUUAAAUAUAUUAUAUUAUUGAUAAUUUUAAAAUUACUUAAAAAGAAACUAAAUUAUUAAAAAA